Molecule: long non-coding RNA, 1412 nt
Organism: Mesocricetus auratus (golden hamster)
Lineage: Eukaryota; Metazoa; Chordata; Mammalia; Rodentia; Cricetidae
Exons: 4
Source: RefSeq, a predicted model, not a curated record
CUUUGCAAUCAAAGUGAAGUUUUUGAUUUGAGGAUUCAAAAGCCCAAGCCUGAAGAUUUGAAGCAUAAGCCCAAGUAUCAGAUUUGGAGGAAUACAGUGAAGCCGCUUUCCCACGGUUAAGACAGAACAGAACAUAAUGCCCAGCAGAGGAGAGGAAAAAGAAGGAAGAGAUGAAAACCAUGUCUCCUAGGCGAUUUGCCAUGUCAGGAUAAGAUGAAUAUCUCCUUCCCAGCCACCAGCCAUCAGAAACACAUUGGAGUGGAUGAUGAAAAGCAAACCUUGCAUUUUUCUUUGGAGAUCAAAAGAGCAAGCAGAAUCCUAAUCUUUUCAACCUCUCUAAAGAAGAUGAUGUCCGCCAAUAUGUUCACAGAAAGCUUUAAACAAAGAAGGUGAGAAGUCCAGUACCAAAGUCCCCAAGAUCCAGAAUCUUGUGACUCCACAUGUUCUACAACACAAACACUAGCGUGUCCUCCACAAGAGCUUCUACAUCCAAGCCUGGGUCCAGUCAAGAAUAAGUCUCUAAGAGUGAGAGCCUUUGGAGCACUCAGUUCUGGGCACUGUGAAACUUCAGGAAGAUCUGACAAGUUGGCCCUGCACUUGAGUAGUUCUAAUCCAGUGGAAGAGAGAGCCAAACUUCAGGAAGGUACUUGGGCAGAACGGAGACUGUGUGUGCCCAGAGAAGUCAGGGAAGGCUCUUCUGUUUACUAGCCGGCUUCAAGGCUCCCAGUUUUUCAGCCCUUCCUGGGCAAAGGCCACAUCCAGAAAGACCUGCAGGUGCACAAUCAUUGUACCUCUUAUCAUAAUUCUUCUUUCUGCUCCUCAAGCGCAUCACUUCCAAAAAGCACACAAAGUUCAAAUCCAAAUCUGUAGCUGGGGUCUGUGGUGAGAAUAUGACCCCUGGGGGAUCAGAGCUGUCUGUCACUCCUAAAACCAGGAAAAGUCUUAACUCACACCUCCCAAGUUGCCUGAAAUGGUAAGGCUUUCCUAGGACUGCACUUUCUGUGGUCGACAGCUAGACUCUGAAUCCCUGGCAUAGUACUGUCCUCAAAGACACAUUGCAAAAUGGGACCCACCAUGUUGCCAUGGAGACUAGUAGGACUUCCUGAGAUACCCAGAACUGGUAACCUUGUACGCAGAUCUCUGUGGAAAUAAGAGACACAGGAGAUCUUCCUGAAGCUCUUAGAGACUGAAGGAGGUGGCCCAAUACUUCCAUCUAUCCACUCAUUAACUCACCAGGGGAGCAGUGACAAAUAGUGAAUGAACUCAUUUAAAUAUGAAUGUCCCCAGGUUGUGGUGGUGCACACCAGUAGGAUUUGCUGAAGGAGGCAGAGGCAGGCAGAUCUCUGUGAGUUCGAGGCCAACCUGGUCUUCAGAGUGAGUGCCAGGACAGCCAGGAUAGGUUCCAAAGCUAC